RNAcentral lists this ribosomal RNA (251 nucleotides) under uncultured prokaryote. RNAcentral's name for it is "partial 16S rRNA". It matches the Rfam family "Bacterial small subunit ribosomal RNA", at positions 525 to 775 of the family's 1533-position model. The record is from RNAcentral.
ACGGAGGGUGCAAGCGUUAUUCGGAAUUACUGGGCGUAAAGGGCGUGCAGGCGGGAGAGCAAGUCUGAUGUGAAAGCCCGGGGCUUAACCCCGGAAGGGCCUUGGAAACUGCUUUUCUUGAGUUCUGGAGAGGAAGGGAGAAUUCCCGGUGUAGAAGUGAAAUCCGUUGAGAUCGGGAGGAACAUCAGUGGCGAAGGCGCCCUACUGGGCAGCAACUGACAGUGAGGCGCGAAAGCUUGGGGAGCAAACAG